Molecule: ribosomal RNA, 448 nt
Filed under: uncultured bacterium
Lineage: Bacteria
Description: bacterial SSU rRNA
Rfam family: Bacterial small subunit ribosomal RNA
Source: RNAcentral
CCAGACUCCUACGGGAGGCAGCAGUGGGGAAUAUUGGGCAAUGGACGCAAGUCUGACCCAGCGACGCCGCGUGAAGGAAGAAGGCCUUCGGGUUGUAAACUUUAGUUAUCAGGGAAGAAACAAAUGACGGUACCUGAAGAAGAAGCCCCGACUAACUACGUGCCAGCAGCCGCGGUAAUACGUAGGGGGCAAGCGUUAUCCGGAUUUACUGGGUGUAAAGGGGGCGCAGACGGCGAUGCAAGCCAGGAGUGAAAGCCCGGGGCCCAACCCCGGGACUGCUCUUGGAACUGCGUGGCUGGAGUGCAGGAGGGGCAGGCGGAAUUCCUGGUGUAGCGGUGAAAUGCGUAGAUAUCAGGAGGAACACCGGUGGCGAAGGCGGCCUGCUGGACUGCAACUGACGUUGAGGCCCGAAAGCGUGGGGAGCAAACAGGAUUAGAUACCCUAGUAA